GGGCCCGCACAAGCGGUGGAGCAUGUGGUUUAAUUCGAUGAUACGCGAGGAACCUUACCAGGGCUUAAAUGUGGUCUGACAGCUUUAGAGAUAGAGCCUCCUUCGGGCAGAUCACAAGGUGCUGCAUGGUUGUCGUCAGCUCGUGCCGUGAGGUGUCAGGUUAAGUCCUAUAACGAGCGCAACCCCUGCCGUUAGUUGCCAGCAUGUAAAGAUGGGGACUCUAACGGGACUGCCGGUGCAAACCGCGAGGAAGGUGGGGAUGACGUCAAAUCAUCACGGCCCUUACGUCCUGGCCACACACGUGCUACAAUGGCCGGUACAGAGAGCAGCCACUGGGCAACCAGGAGCGAA
RNAcentral lists this ribosomal RNA (351 nucleotides) under uncultured bacterium. RNAcentral's name for it is "bacterial SSU rRNA". It matches the Rfam family "Bacterial small subunit ribosomal RNA", at positions 917 to 1271 of the family's 1533-position model. The record is from RNAcentral.